RNAcentral lists this ribosomal RNA (536 nucleotides) under uncultured bacterium. RNAcentral describes it as "bacterial SSU rRNA". It matches the Rfam family "Bacterial small subunit ribosomal RNA", at positions 775 to 1310 of the family's 1533-position model. The record is from RNAcentral.
AGUCAAUAGAUACCCGGGUAGUCCACGCCGUAAACGAUGAGUACUAGGUGUAGGAGGUAUCGACUCCUUCUGUGCCGCAGUUAAACACAAUAAGUACUCCGCCUGGGAAGUACGGUCGCAAGAUUAAAACUCAAAGGAAUUGACGGGGGCCCGCACAAGCAGCGGAGCAUGUGGUUUAAUUCGAAGCAACGCGAAGAACCUUACCUAGACUUGACAUCUCCUGAAUAGCGUAGAGAUACGUGAAGCCCUUCGGGGCAGGAAGACAGGUGGUGCAUGGUUGUCGUCAGCUCGUGUCGUGAGAUGUUGGGUUAAGUCCCGCAACGAGCGCAACCCUUAUCAUUAGUUGCUACCAUUAAGUUGAGCACUCUAGUGAGACUGCCCGGGUUAACCGGGAGGAAGGCGGGGAUGACGUCAAAUCAUCAUGCCCCUUAUGUCUAGGGCUACACACGUGCUACAAUGGUGAGAACAACGAGAUGCAAUACCGCGAGGUGGAGCUAAACUUGAAAACUCAUCCCAGUUCGGAUUGUAGGCUGAAA